UAUGAGUCCGGUAUUUAGUGUUUAUAAAUUUUUUAUCGUUAAAUCUACGUCUUUGAUUAUUUAAUCAUUCGUUAGAUUGUACUAUUAAACCGACGACUCACUCAAUCCUAGAGGCCCCACAUCCUCCUAACCGCAUAUCUCUUAAUCCAAUGAUCAAAAAUCUAUAAACACCAAUAACUUGGUGCUUUUAAAAGCAUAUGAGCUGAAUUCUUUACUUAUAUACCUCUAACUUCUAUUAAAAUUUUUAAAAGAGAAAACUUUAAAUACCAUCCCUAUAAUUUCCUUUUUUUUUAUUAUAGUACCUUAUGGUUUAAAAUGUAUCAAUUUAGUAUCCCGUAGUUUCUUUUUCUCUUUUUAUUAUUCUUUUCACUAUGUUUUUUGUUAAAUCAAUAACAAAGUUAAAACUAAAAGGUGUUAAAGUAAAUAUUCGAUAAAUUUCGGUGGGGUAUCUAAAGUUUUUUGUAUAUAGUUUAACGAAAUGUUAACGGAGGAGCUGAUGAUAAGAAAAAAAAUGAAACUAUAUAUAUGAUACUAAAUUGAUACACUUUAAAUCAUAGGGUACUAAAGCGAGAAAGUGCGAAAUCACUAGGGUGGUAUUUGAAGUUUAUCCUUUUAAAAUUUAUCGCGCAAUACUCAAAAU
RNAcentral lists this long non-coding RNA (640 nucleotides) under Ananas comosus (pineapple). Its description in RNAcentral is "long non-coding RNA (ACOM_LNC006258)". The record is from RNAcentral. Lineage: Eukaryota; Viridiplantae; Streptophyta; Magnoliopsida; Poales; Bromeliaceae.